Long non-coding RNA from Coffea eugenioides, 719 nucleotides. RefSeq lists it as uncharacterized. The record is from RefSeq and is a predicted model, not a curated record. Lineage: Eukaryota; Viridiplantae; Streptophyta; Magnoliopsida; Gentianales; Rubiaceae. The transcript is spliced from 2 exons.
UACAAGUUUAUGACUAUUUCUCAUUUUCUCCAUCGAUUUACCUAAUUCCCAAAUCCUCACUUCCUCUGCCGACUCCUGCCGAUUCCCAACUCCCAAACUCCAAAUUCCCACUUCUGCCGGCUCCAUCUCCACCAGCUCCACCCAGCUUUUGCAGAUCCAUCAUUUCAAAGCUUUAUCAUUCAAAGCUUUAGAUCUAUUGCAAAAGAGGUAGUUGUGGACCCCCGUGAUGUUCUUUUGUUUUUUCUUCUACGGUGGUCCAACUUAAGGGCUUGAAGCAGAUACAUUGACUGGGGAACCCAUCUUGAGGCUGAUAUUGAUGGAAAUGGAGUUCUGGACUAUGGAGAGUUUGUAGCAGUGACGAUACACUUACAGAGGAUGGAGAAUGAUGAGCACUUUCGUAGAGCGUUCAUGUUUUUUUGACAAAGACGGAUUUUUAGCUAAUUUGGAUAUGACAAUUUUUGGUUGUUGUUUGGCCCCUUUUUAUGGCUUAUUUUUAGCUGUGUUCAAAGCUAUAUUUUUGCUGAUUUUUUGUGCUCAAUUUCUCAAUUAGCAGGCUGAUUUUUUGACAUUUUUUUGGCUGCUGUUUUUCUUUCUUUCUUUUUUCUUUUUGGAUAGCUCAUUUGCUGGUUUCUUUUGCUUCUUAAUGUAAUUAGAGUUGAAGAGCAUAAUUACAGCUUGGCUUGACGAUGAAUUGCUGAAGACACAAUUUAUAUUUGAAA